GUGGGGAAUUUUGGACAAUGGGCGCAAGCCUGAUCCAGCAAUGCCGCGUGUGUGAAGAAGGCCUUCGGGUUGUAAAGCACUUUUGGCAGGAAAGAAAUAGCGCGUGCUAAUACCAUGCGCGAAUGACGGUACCUGCAGAAUAAGCACCGGCUAACUACGUGCCAGCAGCCGCGGUAAGACGUAGGGUGCAAGCGUUAAUCGGAAUUACUGGGCGUAAAGCGUGCGCAGGCGGUUUUGUAAGACAGGUGUGAAAUCCCCGGGCUCAACCUGGGAACUGCACUUGUGACUGCAAGGCUAGAGUGUGUCAGAGGGAGGUGGAAUUCCGCGUGUAGCAGUGAAAUGCGUAGAGAUGCGGAGGAACACCGAUGGCGAAGGCAGCCUCCUGGGAUAACACUGACGCUCAGGCACGAAAGCGUGGGGAGCAAACAGGAUUAGAAACCCGUGUAGUCC
RNAcentral lists this ribosomal RNA (450 nucleotides) under uncultured bacterium. Its description in RNAcentral is "bacterial SSU rRNA". It matches the Rfam family "Bacterial small subunit ribosomal RNA", at positions 354 to 796 of the family's 1533-position model. The record is from RNAcentral.